RNAcentral lists this non-coding RNA (22 nucleotides) under Arabidopsis thaliana (thale cress). The record is from RNAcentral. Lineage: Eukaryota; Viridiplantae; Streptophyta; Magnoliopsida; Brassicales; Brassicaceae.
UCACUAAUCCUUUGUAGUCUGC